AUUGAACGCUGGCGGCAGGCUUAACACAUGCAAGUCGAACGAGUGGCGGACGGGUGAGUAAUGCUUGGGAAUCUAGCUUAUGGCGGGGGAUAACUCCGGGAAACUGUAGCUAAUACCGCGUACCAUAGGAUGAGCCCAAGUGGGCUUAGGUAGUUGGUGAGGUAAAGGCUCACCAAGCCGCCGAUCUCUAGCUGGUCUGAGAGGAUGCCCAGCCAAACGGGGACUGAGAAACGGCCCAGACUCCUACGGGAGGCAGCAGUGGGGAAUAUUGCGCAAUGGGGGCAACCUGACGCAGCCAUGCCGCGUGAAUGAAGAAGGCCCUAGGGUUGUAAAGUACUUUCAGUCGGGAGGCGUUACCCGCAGAAGAAGCACCGGCUAACUCCGUACCAGCAGCCGCGGUAUUC
RNAcentral lists this ribosomal RNA (404 nucleotides) under uncultured bacterium. RNAcentral describes it as "partial 16S ribosomal RNA". It matches the Rfam family "Bacterial small subunit ribosomal RNA", at positions 30 to 525 of the family's 1533-position model. The record is from RNAcentral.